Molecule: ribosomal RNA, 1107 nt
Filed under: Vibrio sp. 798M
Lineage: Bacteria; Pseudomonadati; Pseudomonadota; Gammaproteobacteria; Vibrionales; Vibrionaceae
Description: bacterial SSU rRNA
Rfam family: Bacterial small subunit ribosomal RNA
Source: RNAcentral
CAGCCUGAUGCGCCAUGCCGCGUGUGUGAAGAAGGCCUUCGGGUUGUAAAGCACUUUCAGUCGUGAGGAAGGUGGUGUAGUUAAUAGCUGCAUUAUUUGACGUUAGCGACAGAAGAAGCACCGGCUAACUCCGUGCCAGCAGCCGCGGUAAUACGGAGGGUGCGAGCGUUAAUCGGAAUUACUGGGCGUAAAGCGCAUGCAGGUGGUUUGUUAAGUCAGAUGUGAAAGCCCGGGGCUCAACCUCGGAAUAGCAUUUGAAACUGGCAGACUAGAGUACUGUAGAGGGGGGUAGAAUUUCAGGUGUAGCGGUGAAAUGCGUAGAGAUCUGAAGGAAUACCGGUGGCGAAGGCGGCCCCCUGGACAGAUACUGACACUCAGAUGCGAAAGCGUGGGGAGCAAACAGGAUUAGAUACCCUGGUAGUCCACGCCGUAAACGAUGUCUACUUGGAGGUUGUGGCCUUGAGCCGUGGCUUUCGGAGCUAACGCGUUAAGUAGACCGCCUGGGGAGUACGGUCGCAAGAUUAAAACUCAAAUGAAUUGACGGGGGCCCGCACAAGCGGUGGAGCAUGUGGUUUAAUUCGAUGCAACGCGAAGAACCUUACCUACUCUUGACAUCCAGAGAACUUUCCAGAGAUGGAUUGGUGCCUUCGGGAACUCUGAGACAGGUGCUGCAUGGCUGUCGUCAGCUCGUGUUGUGAAAUGUUGGGUUAAGUCCCGCAACGAGCGCAACCCUUAUCCUUGUUUGCCAGCGAGUAAUGUCGGGAACUCCAGGGAGACUGCCGGUGAUAAACCGGAGGAAGGUGGGGACGACGUCAAGUCAUCAUGGCCCUUACGAGUAGGGCUACACACGUGCUACAAUGGCGCAUACAGAGGGCAGCCAACUUGCGAAAGUGAGCGAAUCCCAAAAAGUGCGUCGUAGUCCGGAUUGGAGUCUGCAACUCGACUCCAUGAAGUCGGAAUCGCUAGUAAUCGUGGAUCAGAAUGCCACGGUGAAUACGUUCCCGGGCCUUGUACACACCGCCCGUCACACCAUGGGAGUGGGCUGCAAAAGAAGUAGGUAGUUAACCUUCGGGGGGACCUUACCCUUUUGGUUCUUGAUGGGUGAUC